UACACUCCUACGGGAGGCAGCAGUGGGGAAUAUUGCACAAUGGGCGCAAGCCUGAUGCAGCCAUGCCGCGUGUAUGAAGAAGGCCUUCGGGUUGUAAAGUACUUUCAGCGGGGAGGAAGGCAAUACGGUUAAUAACCGUGUUGAUUGACGUUACCCGCAGAAGAAGCACCGGCUAACUCCGUGCCAGCAGCCGCGGUAAUACGGAGGGUGCAAGCGUUAAUCGGAAUUACUGGGCGUAAAGCGCACGCAGGCGGUCUGUCAAGUCGGAUGUGAAAUCCCCGGGCUCAACCUGGGAACUGCAUUCGAAACUGGCAGGCUUGAGUCUUGUAGAGGGGGGUAGAAUUCCAGGUGUAGCGGGGAAAUGCGUAGAGAUCUGGAGGAAUACCGGUGGCGAAGGCGGCCCCCUGGACAAAGACUGACGCGCAGGUGCGAAAGCGUGGGGAGCAAACAGGAUUAGAAACCCCAGUAGUCCCAU
Molecule: ribosomal RNA, 475 nt
Filed under: uncultured organism
Description: partial 16S ribosomal RNA
Rfam family: Bacterial small subunit ribosomal RNA
Source: RNAcentral